AAUGAACGCUAGCUACAGGCUUACCACAUCCAAGUCGAGGGGUAACAAGAGGAAAGCUUGCUUUCCCUGUUGACGACCGCCGCACGGGUGAGUAACGCGUAUCCAACCUGCCUAUAACUAGGGAAUAACAUUGCGAAAGUAAGACUAAUACCCUUUGAUUUCCUUUGAUGACAUCAGAUCAGGACUAACGAUUUAUCAGUUAUAGAUGGGGAUGCGUCAGAUUAGCUUGUUGGCGGGGUAACGGCCCACCAAGGCAACGAUCAGGAGGGGUUCUGAGAGGAAGGUCCCCCACAUUUGAACUGAGACACGGUACAAACUCCUACGGGAGGGAGCGGUGAGGAAUAUUGGUCAAUGGGCGGAAGCCUGAACCAGCCAAGUAGCGUGCAGGAUGACGGCCCUAUGGGAUGUAAACUGCUUUUAUACAGGGAGAAAGGUAGCCACGUGUGGUUAUUUGUAGGUACUCUAUGAAUAAGGACCGGCUAAUUCCGUGCCAGCCGCCGCAGUAA
Molecule: ribosomal RNA, 506 nt
Filed under: uncultured bacterium
Lineage: Bacteria
Description: partial 16S ribosomal RNA
Rfam family: Bacterial small subunit ribosomal RNA
Source: RNAcentral